Marmota monax (woodchuck) is the source of this 1221-nucleotide long non-coding RNA. RefSeq lists it as uncharacterized. The transcript is spliced from 2 exons. The record is from RefSeq and is a predicted model, not a curated record. Lineage: Eukaryota; Metazoa; Chordata; Mammalia; Rodentia; Sciuridae.
GUGUGUUGGAUGAGCUGGUGGGCCUACUUUUUCUCAUAGGGAUUUUUUUUGUGUGUGUAUGUGGUGCUAGGAAUCGAACCCAGGGCCUUGUGCAUGCGAGGCAAGCACUCUACCAACUGAGCUGUAUCCCCCGCCUUCCCAUAGGAGUUCGAUAUGCACAUGUAUCCAUGUGCUUCUAAUUAAUUUGAUAAAUUCAUGGGUGGUCAUUUUUAUAAGCAUGAUUCAUUUACUUCUCAGUCUGUGCCUUCUGGUUGUGCCAGGCAGAUGAUGGCUAUUUACUUGUACAAACCAAGUGUAGAGUUACUCCUCAGCACUUAAACUCAAAAUAGAGUAGCUUAUGGCAAACACUGCUUUUCGAAAUGAAGUACCCCAGGGUUCGGCACAGCCUGACCAUCUGCUGGUCUAUAGGUCACAGAGUAACUCGGAGCAGGGCACAGCCUGCUCCCCACACUACGAAGAAUUGUGGCCUCAAAACUGUGCGCUGGAUAAAUCCAGCCUUCAGUGCUAAAUGUACAGAAAAUAUAGGUCAUGGGCGAGCAGGGAAGGCUGUGCCUGAGGACACCAUCAGCCCAUCCAGAGGGGGAGUAUUCUAGAUUCAGUGUCACUAGGAAAGGGAGAGAGAGGCCGAGAUAGAGGUGUGCCACCACCUCACCAACUACAAUGUGUGGCUCUUGCUUGGGUUUUGAUUUGAACAAACGCACUCAAGACACUCACAAAUGAGAUGAUCUUAAGGAAUUGAUACUUUCAUCCGUUCAUCUGUAAUCAGGGUGUGGGCAAUGGUAUGGUGAUUGUUUUCAAACUGCUUUUAUUAGAUUCAUAAUGAUGUAUUUAUAGGAAAAAUGACAUGACGUCUUACAUGUGGCCUCAGAAGCCCCAGGAGAGGCUGGGGAGAUGGAAGGAGGCAGUUGAAGCCAAGUGGGGGAUAUUGGCUCCUUACAGAGUAGUUGUAAAGAUUAAGGGAAGAACACCUGCAAGACACACGGUACAGUGCUCUCUGCCUUUAACACAGACUCCAAAGUCAAUGAACCUUCCUGUGGCCUUGAAAGCACGCCAGCUCGGGUUGGCCCUGCAUGACAUCACCGGGCGCAGCGCCGGGCCUGAAGACAGGCUCCAUUAACGUCUGGAGUAUAAAAGCUCCGACUCACACCCCGAUAUUCACCCGAAUCCACUGUGCCUUGCCCUCUUUCUUCCACUCCUCUCAUUAAAUCCUUUCUUCCUGGA